Pantoea vagans C9-1 is the source of this 420-nucleotide non-coding RNA. The record is from Rfam. NCBI's taxonomy places the organism in Bacteria, Pseudomonadati, Pseudomonadota, Gammaproteobacteria, Enterobacterales, Erwiniaceae.
UACGGACGAUUCGCAAGUCCGGAAGCAGGAAAGUGUGAUGGACGCACGGAAAGGCGAUAUUUAUCACUUUUUCAUCAAAUCAUGCUGGACAAAUCCCUCAGCAAUUGCUGUACUAGACCCCGACACAGUUUAGUGUCCAUUUUUCAUGUAAAGGUAAUAUAGAUGUCUAAGAUCAAAGGUAACGUUAAGUGGUUUAAUGAAUCUAAAGGAUUCGGUUUCAUUACUCCUGAAGAUGGCAGCAAAGAUGUAUUCGUACAUUUCUCUGCAAUCCAGAGCAACGGCUUCAAAACUCUGGCUGAAGGUCAGCGCGUAGAGUUUGAAAUCACCGACGGCGCUAAAGGCCCAUCUGCUGCUAACGUUAUCAGUCUGUAAGUUAACAGUCAGAAUUCUAAAAACCCGCCUGAUGGCGGGUUUUUUUAU